GACAGAGGGUGCAAACGUUGUUCGGAAUUACUGGGCGUAAAGCGAGUGUAGGCGGUCUCAUAAGUCGGGUGUGAAAGCCCUGGGCUCAACCCAGGAAGUGCACUCGAUACUGCGAGGCUAGAGUAUCGGAGAGGUUGGUGGAAUUCUCGGUGUAGAGGUGAAAUUCGUAGAUAUCGAGAGGAACACCGGUGGCGAAGGCGGUUCACUGGCCCGGUACUGACGCUGAGGUGCGAAAGCGUGGGGAGCAAACAGG
Molecule: ribosomal RNA, 253 nt
Filed under: uncultured bacterium
Lineage: Bacteria
Description: partial 16S ribosomal RNA
Rfam family: Bacterial small subunit ribosomal RNA
Source: RNAcentral